RNAcentral lists this ribosomal RNA (253 nucleotides) under uncultured bacterium. Its description in RNAcentral is "partial 16S ribosomal RNA". It matches the Rfam family "Bacterial small subunit ribosomal RNA", at positions 524 to 776 of the family's 1533-position model. The record is from RNAcentral.
UACGUAGGGUGCAAGCGUUGUCCGGAAUUAUUGGGCGUAAAGAGCUCGUAGGCGGUUUGUCGCGUCGGCUGUGAAAACUCAGGGCUCAACCCUGAGCCUGCAGUCGAUACGGGCAGACUAGAGUAUGGCAGGGGAGACUGGAAUUCCUGGUGUAGCGGUGAAAUGCGCAGAUAUCAGGAGGAACACCGGUGGCGAAGGCGGGUCUCUGGGCCAUAACUGACGCUGAGGAGCGAAAGCGUGGGGAGCGAACAGG